CGAACGGAGUCGGCCCCGCAAGGGACUGACUUAGUGGCGAACGGGUGAGUAACGCGUGAGCAACCUGCCUUUCAGUGGGGGACAACAGUUGGAAACGACUGCUAAUACCGCAUAAUGCAUUUUGACCGCAUGAUCGAGAUGCCAAAGAUUUAUUGCUGAAAGAUGGGCUCGCGUCUGAUUAGAUAGUUGGUGGGGUAACGGCCCACCAAGUCGACGAUCAGUAGCCGGACUGAGAGGUUGAACGGCCACAUUGGGACUGAGAUACGGCCCAGACUCCUACGGGAGGCAGCAGUGGGGAAUAUUGGGCAAUGGGGGAAACCCUGACCCAGCAACGCCGCGUGAAGGAAGAAGGCUUUCGGGUUGUAAACUUCUUUUACCAGGGACGAAGAAAGUGACGGUACCUGGAGAAAAAGCCACGGCUAACUACGUGCCAGCAGCCGCGGUAAUACGUAGGUGGCAAGCGUUGUCCGGAUUUACUGGGUGUAAAGGGCGUGUAGGCGGAGAUGCAAGUCAGAUGUGAAAUCCCCGGGCUUAACCCGGAAACUGCAUUUGAAACUGUAUCCCUUGAGUAUCGGAGAGGCAGGCGGAAUUCCUAGUGUAGCGG
This 604-nucleotide ribosomal RNA is filed under the name uncultured bacterium. RNAcentral describes it as "bacterial SSU rRNA". It matches the Rfam family "Bacterial small subunit ribosomal RNA", at positions 63 to 681 of the family's 1533-position model. The record is from RNAcentral.